GAUUAACGCUGGCGGCGUGCAUAACACAUGCAAGUCGAACGAUGAAACUUUAAUGAACCCUUCGGGGAGAAUUAAAGCGGAUUAGUGGCGAACGGGUGAGUAACGCGUGAGUAACCUGCCUUACACAAGGGGAUAGCCUUUGGAAACGAAGAAUAAUACCCUAUAAAACCAUAAAAGCACAUGCAAUUAUGGUCAAAGUGAUAGCGGUGUAAGAUGGACUUGCGUCUGAUUAGCUAGUUGGUGAGAUAAAAGCCCACCAAGGCAACGAUCAGUAGCCGGCUUGAGAGAGCGUACGGCCACAUUGGGACUGAGACACGGCCCAGACUCCUACGGGAGGCAGCAGUGGGGAAUUUUGCACAAUGGGGGAAACCCUGAUGCAGCGACGCCGCGUGAUUUAGAAGGCCUUCGGGUUGUAAAAAUCUUUUGUAUAGGAAGAAAAUGACAGUACUAUACGAAUAAGGUCCGGCUAAUUACGUG
Molecule: ribosomal RNA, 477 nt
Filed under: uncultured bacterium
Lineage: Bacteria
Description: partial 16S ribosomal RNA
Rfam family: Bacterial small subunit ribosomal RNA
Source: RNAcentral